CCUAUAAAUAAUAAAAGGUCCAUUUAGGUCCCUUAACUUUAUUUAAAGUAUCAAUUUGGUCCUUUCCAUUAAUUUAAUUUAAAAAAACGUUAAGUUUAGGGACUAAACUAAUACUAAUUAAAUAAGUUAAGGGUCAAACUAAUACUAAUUAAAUAAGUUAAGAGACCAAAAUUAUACGUUCUUCAACUUGAUUUUAACUUACUUAUGAUUAAUUAUAGCU
Molecule: microRNA precursor, 220 nt
Filed under: Medicago truncatula (barrel medic)
Lineage: Eukaryota; Viridiplantae; Streptophyta; Magnoliopsida; Fabales; Fabaceae
Description: MIR2655 microRNA precursor family
Rfam family: MIR2655 microRNA precursor family
Source: Rfam by way of RNAcentral